AUACAGGGUUUUCUAGAAUCGAAAGUUCUCUCUUUUUUCGGAGCCUCCUGUUGGAUAAUUUAUGUUGUGGCCGUCCUGCUUGAGAACACUUCCUUUUUCAAGGGAAAGAUAUUCAACAGUUGAUGUUGCAAGUGAAACACUUCCUUUUUCAAGGGAAAGAUAUUCAACAGUUGAUGUUGCAAGUGAAAUUUUACUGGCCCCUCUAGGUAUUUACAUGUCCAGAGAUAGAUGGGUGUGUGCCGUGCUCUUGCCACCAAUUGGUAAAUAUCCUCUGGUUUAUC
RNAcentral lists this long non-coding RNA (281 nucleotides) under Capsicum annuum. RNAcentral describes it as "long non-coding RNA (CANN_LNC004397)". The record is from RNAcentral. Lineage: Eukaryota; Viridiplantae; Streptophyta; Magnoliopsida; Solanales; Solanaceae.